Molecule: small RNA, 121 nt
Filed under: Salmonella enterica subsp. enterica serovar Muenchen
Lineage: Bacteria; Pseudomonadati; Pseudomonadota; Gammaproteobacteria; Enterobacterales; Enterobacteriaceae
Description: partial RtT sRNA
Rfam family: RtT RNA
About the family: This family represents a bacterial cis-regulatory element known as RtT RNA. The exact function of RtT is unknown although it is thought that it may be involved in changing the cellular response in relation to amino acid starvation.
Source: RNAcentral
UCGAAUCCUGCACGACCCACCAAUCGUUCGGUGGAAACGAGAAUAAAACGUGAAGGAUAACGUUGCGUCAGCAACGACCCGUAGGGCGAGGCAAAGCCGAGUCAUCCUGCACGACCCACCA